CCUACGGGGUGCAGCAGUAGGGAAUCUUCGGCAAUGGACGAAAGUCUGACCGAGCAACGCCGCGUGAGUGAAGAAGGUUUUCGGAUCGUAAAACUCUGUUGGUAGAGAAGAACGUUGGUGAGAGUGGAAAGCUCAUCAAGUGACGGUAACUACCCAGAAAGGGACGGCUAACUACGUGCCAGCAGCCGCGGUAAUACGUAGGUCCCAAGCGUUGUCCGGAUUUAUUGGGCGUAAAGCGAGCGCAGGUGGUUUAAUAAGUCUGAUGUAAAAGGCAGUGGCUCAACCAUUGUAUGCAUUGGAAACUGUUAGACUUGAGUACAGUAGAGGAGAGUGGAAUUCCAUGUGUAGCGGUGAAAUGCGUAGAUAUAUGGAGGAACACCGGUGGCGAAAGCGGAUCUCUGGACUGUGACUGACACUGAGGCUCGAAAGCGUGGGUAGCAAACAGGAUUAGAUACCCGCGUAGUC
RNAcentral lists this ribosomal RNA (465 nucleotides) under uncultured bacterium. Its description in RNAcentral is "bacterial SSU rRNA". It matches the Rfam family "Bacterial small subunit ribosomal RNA", at positions 338 to 795 of the family's 1533-position model. The record is from RNAcentral.